UACGUAGGGGGCAAGCGUUGUCCGGAAUCAUUGGGCGUAAAGCGCGUGUAGGCGGCUCGAUAAGUCUGCUGUGAAAGUUCAGGGCUCAACCCUGAAAUGCCGGUGGAAACUGUCGAGCUAGAGUACGGAAGAGGUGAGUGGAAUUCCUGGUGUAGCGGUGAAAUGCGCAGAUAUCAGGAGGAACACCAAUGGCGAAGGCAGCUCACUGGGACGUUACUGACACUGAGACGCGAAAGCGUGGGGAGCAAACAGG
RNAcentral lists this ribosomal RNA (253 nucleotides) under uncultured bacterium. Its description in RNAcentral is "partial 16S ribosomal RNA". It matches the Rfam family "Bacterial small subunit ribosomal RNA", at positions 524 to 776 of the family's 1533-position model. The record is from RNAcentral.